Molecule: ribosomal RNA, 467 nt
Filed under: uncultured bacterium
Lineage: Bacteria
Description: partial 16S ribosomal RNA
Rfam family: Bacterial small subunit ribosomal RNA
Source: RNAcentral
GAUGAACGCUGGCGGCGUGCUUAACACAUGCAAGUCGAACGGAAAGGCCCAAGCUUGCUUGGGUACUCGAGUGGCGAACGGGUGAGUAACACGUGGGUGAUCUGCCCUGCACUUCGGGAUAAGCCUGGGAAACUGGGUCUAAUACCGGAUAGGACGAUGGUUUGGAUGCCAUUGUGGAAAGUUUUUUCGGUGUGGGAUGAGCUCGCGGCCUAUCAGCUUGUUGGUGGGGUAAUGGCCUACCAAGGCGUCGACGGGUAGCCGGCCUGAGAGGGUGUACGGCCACAUUGGGACUGAGAUACGGCCCAGACUCCUACGGGAGGCAGCAGUGGGGAAUAUUGCACAAUGGGCGCAAGCCUGAUGCAGCGACGCCGCGUGGGGGAUGACGGCCUUUGGGUUGUAAACUCCUUUCGCUAGGGACGAAGCGUUUUGUGACGGUACCUGGAGAAGAAGCACCGGCUAACUACGUG